GUAGGUGGCAAGCGUUGUCCGGAAUUAUUGGGCGUAAAGCGCGCGCAGGCGGUCUUUUAAGUCUGAUGUGAAAGCCCCCGGCUCAACCGGGGAGGGUCAUUGGAAACUGGAGGACUUGAGUGCAGAAGAGAAGAGCGGAAUUCCACGUGUAGCGGUGAAAUGCGUAGAGAUGUGGAGGAACACCAGUGGCGAAGGCGGCUCUUUGGUCUGUAACCGACGCUGAGGGCGCGAAGGCGUGGGGAGCAAACAGGAUUAGAUACCCUGGUAGUCCACGCCGUAAACGAUGAGUGCUAAGUGUUAGAGGGUUUCCGCCCUUUAGUGCUGCAGCUAACGCAUUAAGCACUCCGCCUGGGGAGUACGGCCGCAAGGCUG
RNAcentral lists this ribosomal RNA (372 nucleotides) under uncultured organism. RNAcentral describes it as "bacterial SSU rRNA". It matches the Rfam family "Bacterial small subunit ribosomal RNA", at positions 527 to 896 of the family's 1533-position model. The record is from RNAcentral.